Molecule: microRNA precursor, 104 nt
Filed under: Sorghum bicolor (sorghum)
Lineage: Eukaryota; Viridiplantae; Streptophyta; Magnoliopsida; Poales; Poaceae
Description: MIR168 microRNA precursor family
Rfam family: MIR168 microRNA precursor family
Source: Rfam by way of RNAcentral
CGCCGCGCCGCCUCGGGCUCGCUUGGUGCAGAUCGGGACCUGCCGCCGUGCUCGGACGGGACAGAUCCCGCCUUGCACCAAGUGAAUCCGAGCCGGAGCAGCCG